Molecule: ribosomal RNA, 301 nt
Filed under: uncultured bacterium
Lineage: Bacteria
Description: partial 16S ribosomal RNA
Rfam family: Bacterial small subunit ribosomal RNA
Source: RNAcentral
CAGCAGCCGCGGUAAUACGUAGGUGGCAAGCGUUGUCCGGAAUUAUUGGGCGUAGAGGGCUCGCAGGCGGUUUCUUAAGUCUGAUGUGAAAGCCCCCGGCUCAACCGGGGAGGGUCAUUGGAAACUGGGAAACUUGAGUGCAGAAGAGGAGAGUGGAAUUCCACGUGUAGCGGUGAAAUGCGUAGAGAUGUGGAGGAACACCAGUGGCGAAGGCGACUCUCUGGUCUGUAACUGACGCUGAGGAGCGAAAGCGUGGGGAGCGAACAGGAUUAGAUACCCCCGUAGUCCCUGUCUCUUAUAC